GGGACCACCAGAAAACUCCUUGAGAUCGAAUGAGUUGAUAGACCUGUCUCUCCAGUUCGCCUGAGUCAGCAUGUUUCCUCUGCCCCCCCAGCUCCUGGGCUAUUACACCUUGCAGUCCAGAAACACAGAGGUCAAUUUCUCUUCUCAGCUCUAGUUCCCAAAUCCCUGAAGAAGAACUUUGCUUGGCCUGGCUUGGGUCAGAACUGGGUUGAGCACCUAUCUACUGAAGACUUGACCAAGUCAGGUCACAUACCUACCGGGAACACGCGGAUGGGGCCAGGACAGCUGAACCCCGUUGUACUCACACGACCACCACCACCUCCUGGAUUCAGGAAAGAGGCUGCUCCUUCAGCAAAACAAAAGAUCUCUCCUGCACCAUCUCCCCCCUCUGCCUUCACGUAUCUUCUCCUCCUCCCAGCUUCAGAGAAAAGAUUUACUCCCAUCGAUGUCUGGAGAUGAUCAAGAUCAAUGGGCCAAUAUGGGCUAAACGAG
This is a long non-coding RNA of Ailuropoda melanoleuca (giant panda), 492 nucleotides long. RefSeq lists it as uncharacterized. The record is from RefSeq and is a predicted model, not a curated record. The transcript is spliced from 3 exons. NCBI's taxonomy places the organism in Eukaryota, Metazoa, Chordata, Mammalia, Carnivora, Ursidae.